ACUGUGAAACUGCGAAUGGCUCAUUAAAUCAGUUAUCGUUUAUUUGAUAGUACCUUACUACUUGGAUACCCGUGGUAAUUCUAGAGCUAAUACAUGCUGAAAACCCCGACUUCGGGAGGGGUGUGUUUAUUAGAUAAAAAACCAAUGCCCUCCGGGGCUGCUUGGUGAAUCAUGAUAACCAAACGAAUCGCAUGGCCUUGAGCCGGCGAUGGUUCAUUCAAAUUUCUGCCCUAUCAACUUUCGAUGGUAGGAUCUGGGCCUACCAUGGUAUCAACGGGUAACGGGGAAUUAGGGUUCGAUUCCGGAGAGGGAGCCUGAGAAACGGCUACCACAUCCAAGGAAGGCAGCAGGCGCGCAAAUUACCCAAUCCCGACUCGGGGAGGUAGUGACAAUAAAUACUGAUACAGGGCUCUUUAGGGUCUUGUAAUUGGAAUGAGUACAAUUUAAACCCCUUAACGAGGAACAAUUGGAGGGCAAGUCUGGUGCCAGCAGCCGCGGUAAUUCCAGCUCCAAUAGCGUAUAUUAAAGUUGUUGCAGUUAAAAAGCUCGUAGUUGAAACUUGGGUCCGGCUGUCCGGUCCGCCUUACCGCGAGUACUGGUUCGGCCGGGCCCUUUCCUCUGGCAAACCGCAUGCCCUUCACUGGGCGUGUCGGGGAACCAGGACUUUUACUUUGAAAAAAUUAGAGUGUUCAAAGCAGGCCUUUGCUCGGAUACAUUAGCAUGGAAUAAUGGAAUAGGACGCGUGGUUCUAUUUUGUUGGUUUCUAGAACCGCCGUAAUGAUUGAUAGGGACAGUCGGGGGCAUCCGUAUUCAGACGCGAGAGGUGAAAUUCUUAGACCGUCUGAAGACGAACUACUGCGAAAGCAUUUGCCAAGGAUGUUUUCAUUAAUCAGUGAACGAAAGUUGGGGGAUCGAAGACGAUCAGAUACCGUCGUAGUCUCAACCGUAAACUAUGCCGACUAGGGAUCGGGCGGCGUUCUCAUUAUGACCCGCCCGGCACCUUACGAGAAAUCA
RNAcentral lists this ribosomal RNA (1014 nucleotides) under Muyocopron ficinum. Its description in RNAcentral is "SSU rRNA". It matches the Rfam family "Eukaryotic small subunit ribosomal RNA", at positions 78 to 1100 of the family's 1831-position model. The record is from RNAcentral. Lineage: Eukaryota; Fungi; Ascomycota; Dothideomycetes; Muyocopronales; Muyocopronaceae.